GACCCACCCGAGCAGUUUGCGCUGCAGGGGGGAGAAGGAGGGGCGCGCAUGCGCAGACGGACAGACGCGUGGACGCCGGAACCCGCCCAGAAUGCGUGGAAGCUGGCGGGAGCCGGUUGCUCCUGGACCAGCUCCAGGAAGAGGAACACGGCCUGGGGUCUGGGCCGCCGCUUGCACGCGGCUCGUCUGCCGCUGCCGGGCAGUUAAGGGGGCGCUGGUGGGGGCGCGCUGCUCGGGGAGCCGGCGGGUGACGCCUGGGCUGUGCAGCUGAGUAGGCGCCCAGGGACGGGUGCGGAGAUGCACAAAGCAGGGUAAUCGGAAGCCUCUCAAUUCCAGAGAUAAUAAUAGUGAAAAAUAUUGUGCAGUGACAGUGAAUCCUUGGCAUAUGAAGAAAGAUUGUAAAGUCCUGAAUGAAUUAAGAAGAUGCAGAAGUUUUUAUAGCUUCACAGACAUAUCAGUCUUGCAGAGAGAAAAAUUUCUUUGCAUUUUGCUGAACUUGUCCGGGUGGCUUUAUCGAAUUUGGUCCAGGCCUCCAGAGGUGAAUACACAUCCAAACCUGAACCAUUUGAAUGUGUGCAAGAUUUUACGAGUCUAGA
Non-coding RNA from Vicugna pacos (alpaca), 596 nucleotides. The record is from RefSeq and is a predicted model, not a curated record. NCBI's taxonomy places the organism in Eukaryota, Metazoa, Chordata, Mammalia, Artiodactyla, Camelidae.